GCCGGCGGCACAUGCCUGUAGUCCCAGCUACUCGGUUGGCUGAGGUGGGAGGAUUGCUUGAGCCCAGGAGUUCUGGGCUAUAGUGCGCUAUGCCAAUCAGGUGUCCACACUAAGUUUGGCAUCAAUAUGGUGACCUCCCCGGAGCGGGGGACCACCAGCUUACCUGGACCACCAGAUUCGAACCACCGGCCCAGGUUGGAAACGGAGGUCAAAACUCCCAUGCUGAUUAGUAGUGGGAUCACUCCUGUGAAUAACCACUGCACUCCAGCCUGGGCAACAUAGCGAGACCCUAUCUCUU
Unclassified non-coding RNA from Callithrix jacchus (white-tufted-ear marmoset), 298 nucleotides. It matches the Rfam family "Metazoan signal recognition particle RNA". From Rfam's summary of the family: The signal recognition particle (SRP) is a universally conserved ribonucleoprotein. The record is from Ensembl. Lineage: Eukaryota; Metazoa; Chordata; Mammalia; Primates; Cebidae.